UGGGUCGGCAAGACGGUCGCGUCGACAGCCUUCGGGCCGUCGCCGAGGAACGUCCGGGCUCCACAGAGCAGGGCGGUGGGCAACACCCACCCGGGGCAACCCGCGAGAAAGUGCAACAGAAAGCAGACCGCCACGUGGCUCCAGGGCCGCGCGGUAAGGGUGAAACGGCGGUGUAAGAGACCACCAGCGGCUCGGGUGACCGGCCGGCUAUGUAAACCUCGCCCGGAGCAAGGUCAGACAGGGAACGCUCGAGGCUGCUCGCCGAGUUCCCGGGUAGACCGCUAGAGCGCUGCGGCAACGUAUCGCCGAGAUAGAUGGCCGUCCGCACCGUGCUUGCACGGCGCGACAGAACCCGGCGUACCAGCCGGCCCAUUCG
Non-coding RNA from Frondihabitans sp., 376 nucleotides. It matches the Rfam family "Bacterial RNase P class A". Rfam says of the family: Ribonuclease P (RNase P) is a ubiquitous endoribonuclease, found in archaea, bacteria and eukarya as well as chloroplasts and mitochondria. Its best characterised activity is the generation of mature 5'-ends of tRNAs by cleaving the 5'-leader elements of precursor-tRNAs. NCBI's taxonomy places the organism in Bacteria, Bacillati, Actinomycetota, Actinomycetes, Micrococcales, Microbacteriaceae. The record is from Rfam.